UACGUAGGUGGCGAGCGUUGUCCGGAUUUACUGGGCGUAAAGAGCGCGCAGGCGGUCGUACAAGUCGCGUGUGAAAGCCCCCGGCUCAACUGGGGAGGGUCACGCGAUACUGUUCGACUCGAAGGCAGGAGAGGGAAGCGGAAUUCCCGGUGUAGUGGUGAAAUGCGUAGAUAUCGGGAGGAACACCAGUGGCGAAGGCGGCGACCUGGGUAGAUACUGACGCUGAGGCGCGAAAGCGUGGGGAGCAAACAGG
RNAcentral lists this ribosomal RNA (253 nucleotides) under uncultured bacterium. Its description in RNAcentral is "partial 16S ribosomal RNA". It matches the Rfam family "Bacterial small subunit ribosomal RNA", at positions 524 to 776 of the family's 1533-position model. The record is from RNAcentral.